Molecule: non-coding RNA, 92 nt
Organism: Paramuricea clavata
Lineage: Eukaryota; Metazoa; Cnidaria; Anthozoa; Malacalcyonacea; Plexauridae
Source: the annotation of a GenBank genome assembly
CUUCCAAAGUUUGCAAAUUUUGUAUACUUUUGUAUUGCAAUUUGCGCAUGCAAUACUUUUGUAUACAAAAUUUGCAAAUAAGGCUAUAUUUU